Transfer RNA from Ovis aries (sheep), 73 nucleotides. It matches the Rfam family "tRNA". From Rfam's summary of the family: Transfer RNA (tRNA) molecules are approximately 80 nucleotides in length. Their secondary structure includes four short double-helical elements and three loops (D, anti-codon, and T loops). NCBI's taxonomy places the organism in Eukaryota, Metazoa, Chordata, Mammalia, Artiodactyla, Bovidae. The record is from Rfam.
GGCUGUGUGGCCUAAUGGAUAAGGCUUCUGAUUCUGGAUCAGAAGAUUGAAGGUUCAAGUCCAUUCAUGGCCG